GACGAACGCUGGCGGCGUGCUUAACACAUGCAAGUCGAACGGUAAGGCCCUUCGGGGUACACGAGUGGCGAACGGGUGAGUAACACGUGGGUGAUCUGCCCUGCACUUCGGGAUAAGCCUGGGAAACUGGGUCUAAUACCGGAUAGGACUCCGGACUGCAUGGUCUGGGGUGGAAAGCUUUUGCGGUGUGGGAUGGGCCCGCGGCCUAUCAGCUUGGUGGUGGGGUGAUGGCCUACCAAGGCGACGACGGGUAGCCGGCCUGGGAGGGUGACCGGCCAAACUGGGACGGAGAUACGGCCCAGACUCCUACGGGGGGCAGCAGUGGGGAAUAUUGCACAAUGGGCGCAAGCCUGAGGCAGCGACGCCGCGUGAGGGAUGACGGCCUUCGGGUUGUAAACCUCUUUCAGCAUCGACGAAGCGAAAGUGACGGUAGGUGCAGAAGAAGGACCGGCCAACUACGUGCCAGCCGCCGCCGUAA
RNAcentral lists this ribosomal RNA (478 nucleotides) under uncultured bacterium. RNAcentral's name for it is "partial 16S ribosomal RNA". It matches the Rfam family "Bacterial small subunit ribosomal RNA", at positions 28 to 523 of the family's 1533-position model. The record is from RNAcentral.